CAGGGUGCAGUGAGAAGUCGUGUCCACAGGGGGCGGCAUGGCCCUGUGUUGGCUGUGGAGAGCCUAUCAGAGACCCUGUGGUGCUACAAGUGUGCUCAGACCAGCAGUGGGAGAGUGUGUCAGCUGUUUCCUGAGGGAUGGGAGGACCUUGUGUAGGACAGAUUAUGCCCGACUAUUUGCAGAGAAGUGUGGAGGCUGCGGGGAGGCAGCACUGUCCUCUGACCUGGUCGUAAGGGCAGGGGGACAGAUCUACCACCCUGAAUGUCUGCACUGCUCGCUCUGCGGUUCAUUACUCAUGCCUGGGGAAAGCUUCAAGCUGGGGCCAGGAGGACCAUUCUGCCAGGCAGAGAAACACGAUGCCAGAGAAAGAGAGCCACAAAGUAGAAACACUGAAAAGAAGAAAAGGUAGUAUAGUUGCAUGUGCAGUUUAUCUAUUGAUUAUAUUAUCUAAUUGACUACCAUUAAUGAUAGUAAUGAUAAUUAAAUGAUGAUAAUAAUGGACUGCAAUUACAUAGCACUGUUUCAAUUGUGUAUAUUGCAUGUUGGGGGCAUCUUCUAAUCCCUUAAUGUACUUUAGUUUGAUAUACUCUUGUAAGGGUCUGGAACAGGGAGAAGAGGAGGUGUUUGGGAGAGGAGGUGGGUGGACAGGGGUAGAGGUAGAGGGGUGCAGGUACGUACAGUCCUCCGCAACUCCCAGCUAAGAGCCCUGCAAACCUACAACUCCCAGACCCAGCUGACUGGCCACCUGAUUGGCCUUAGCCCGCGGGUCAACAGGGUGUGGUUCCAGAACAAACGCUGCAAGGACAAGAAGAGCCACGCCAAGAGAGGAGGCAGACCAGUGUCAGACUUGGACUUCACAGUCCUGCUGUGUGCUUCUGCCAGACCGAUGGUCUUCUCUCCUGAGCCCCCUGUAUUCGCCCUCCAGAUCUACACCUAUAAGUCAUCGUGGCAACCACUUGACGGCCAACUCAAACCCUUUACUAAACAUGAAGUCCAGUCUCUCACAGAGACAUCACAGAGCACAUGUUCCUCAGAAGACCUGGAUUCACCACAGCAGCACAGUGAUGAGUCUGUCGCCAUUCUGACUAUCUAGAAACUACCACUAUCCCAACACCCUCACUGAACUGUUAACUAU
Molecule: long non-coding RNA, 1135 nt
Organism: Coregonus clupeaformis (lake whitefish)
Lineage: Eukaryota; Metazoa; Chordata; Actinopteri; Salmoniformes; Salmonidae
Exons: 4
Source: RefSeq, a predicted model, not a curated record